This 492-nucleotide ribosomal RNA is filed under the name uncultured bacterium. RNAcentral describes it as "partial 16S ribosomal RNA". It matches the Rfam family "Bacterial small subunit ribosomal RNA", at positions 29 to 507 of the family's 1533-position model. The record is from RNAcentral.
AGUGAACGCUGGCGGUAGGCCUAACACAUGCAAGUCGAACGGCAGCACAGUAAGAGCUUGCUCUUACGGGUGGCGAGUGGCGGACGGGUGAGGAAUACAUCGGAAUCUACUUUUUCGUGGGGGAUAACGUAGGGAAACUUACGCUAAUACCGCAUACGACCUACGGGUGAAAGCAGGGGAUCUUCGGACCUUGCGCGAUUGAAUGAGCCGAUGUCGGAUUAGCUAGUUGGCGGGGUAAAGGCCCACCAAGGCGACGAUCCGUAGCUGGUCUGAGAGGAUGAUCAGCCACACUGGAACUGAGACACGGUCCAGACUCCUACGGGAGGCAGCAGUGGGGAAUAUUGGACAAUGGGCGCAAGCCUGAUCCAGCCAUACCGCGUGGGUGAAGAAGGCCUUCGGGCUGUAAAGCCCUUUUGUUGGGAAAGAAAAGCAGCAGGUUAAUACCCCGCUGUUCUGACGGUACCCAAAGAAUAAGCACCGGCUAACUUCGCG